Molecule: unclassified non-coding RNA, 290 nt
Organism: Cebus imitator (Panamanian white-faced capuchin)
Lineage: Eukaryota; Metazoa; Chordata; Mammalia; Primates; Cebidae
Gene: 7SK
Rfam family: 7SK RNA
About the family: 7SK was discovered as an abundant small nuclear RNA in the mid-70s but a possible function has only recently been suggested. Two independent studies have found that 7SK RNA binds the CDK9/cyclin T complex (known as elongation factor P-TEFb).
Source: Ensembl
GGAUGUAAGGGUGAUCUGGCUGUGCCAGCUCUCACCCCAUUGAUUGCCCAGGUUGAUUCAGCUGAUCUGGCUGGCUAGCCAGGUGUCCCCACCCCCUCACCACUGCAUGCAUAUACCUCCUGAAGCUGUGCCAAAGCUUCCCCAAUAGAGGAGGACCAGUGUUUGGUCAAGGAUAGAGGAGUAGCUGCGCUCCCCUGCUAGAACCUCCAAACAAGCUCUCAGUGUUCACUGGGGACUCCUCUCUGCAGGAGUUUUGCCUUUCCUGUCUACAGGGCCUCGGCUACCACUGU